Long non-coding RNA from Harpia harpyja (harpy eagle), 1430 nucleotides. RefSeq lists it as uncharacterized. The transcript is spliced from 4 exons. The record is from RefSeq and is a predicted model, not a curated record. Lineage: Eukaryota; Metazoa; Chordata; Aves; Accipitriformes; Accipitridae.
ACGGUCGCCGAGAGGGGCAACUCGCGGCCGGGUGCGGGGCCGUUAGCACGUGGCUGCGAGCGGUCUUCGCUGGGGGUUUAGGUAUCAUAUUGAAUGUGCUUGAUGCCACACAGCGCCAUCUAUUCAUACAGAGGAGAGAAUUUGUUACUGCAGAUUUUGGAGGCUGGGCUUUUUUGGUGGAUUAUGUCUCCUUUGAUGUACCUUGACAGCCCCACUGAGAAGCUUUGGUGAGGACUUAGACCACCACUACAGAGCACUGUGGCAGAUCUUUUUUUUUAAAUGAAAAAUAUUAAGUUUCAACAGGAAGCAGAAACAUUCCCCUAAAUCGUAAUUAUGUCAAAGGUUCUACUGGGGAUUUUAUUGGUAGGAUGUGUCCAAGUGAAGUUCUGAUUUGGAGGUGGUGUCCUGAGCCAGUCUUUCUCUGAAGAGGAGAGUGCGCAAGGGAGGAAAUGGUUGAGUUUAAGUUCUGUUUGAAGGAAGGGCAAAAGGAACAAAAUUAUAUCUGUGGUGAUACUGCUGGUAUCGCAGCUUGCUUUGGAAAGGCAGCAGUUGUUUUAUCUUCUUUUUUAUAUCCUAAGUGUUUCCUUUUUUUCAAAACAAAAGGAAAUUUGCCCAGAAAGUAACCCUCUUUGAAUAGCAGCAGGGACUUAGCUGUAAUUUAGGCUGCAGGGUUUCUUGGAGCAGGCACUGAGUCCUCCCCUUUGUCCAUGGAGUGCAGGGAUCACUGAGGAGGCCAGAUAAAUAAAAAUCAUUUACAUAACACUGUCCAGAGGUCCCAGAAAGAACAUCUAGAGGCUGCCAGUGCUCUUUGCCUUCCGGGUGCUCAUGGCUUGCUGCACUGUGAGGGCUUAGACACUUUCAACAAAAUUCAGAGGCCUGUGCUCCAGUGAGACCCAGAAAAGUUUUGCUUAGGCUUAGUAGGAAAUACCUGUUUUCACCCAUUCCUGUCAUUACUUUCUCAUCUUUGUGCUUAUCUCAAAGGACUUGCAAUGUACUCCUGGUUGCCCAUUUCGUGUCUGAAAACUUUGUGGUUUUGUAAAGCUAGGCACUUCAUCAUUAGGCUCACGCUGUCUGGCUCCGCAGACAUGGGAGCUCCAUGGAGAAGGUGGCCCUUUCAUCUCCUGCCACACCAUAUUAAUUUUGCAAAUGUGACAAGCUCAGCUUUGCAAAAAUAACAUAUUGCCCAUGUCUUGUUCUAUUUAAUAUUGUAUUCAAAUCGUCCAAGUGCUCAGCGGCGUGGGCUGGGGGAAAUGGCUCUGCAGACUUCUUUGUCACUUGACUGGCAGCUGGCUUCCAGAAGUUAAUUAUAGCUGUUCAGUGCCAUGGUCCACCAAACCUCUUGGGGAUCAGUGAGGCAUCAGGUGCACAGUGACUCAAGAGGCAAGAACAAAGAUGCUCCAGUUCCCAGGCCAUAAGGGCCAUAAGCUUUA